UGAAUUAGAGAGAGUGAGAUGAGGGUAAAUGAGUUUGAAGGGAAGAGAGUGAGAUGAGGGUAAAGGAGGUUGAAGGGAAGAGAGUGAGAUAAGGGUAAAGGAGGAUGAAGGGAAGAGAGUGAGAUGAGGGUAAAAGGGGGUUGAAGGGAAGAGAGUGAAAUGUGGGUAAAGGAGGUUGAUUUAGAGAGAGUGAGAUGAGGGUAAAGGAGGUUGAAGGAAGAGAGUGAGAUGAGGGUAAAUGAGUUUGAAGGGAAGAGAGUGAGAUGAGGGUAAAGGAGGUUGAAGGGAAGAGAGUGAGAUAAGGGUAAAGGAGGAUGAAGGGAAGAGAGUGAGAUGAGGGUAAAAGGGGGUUGAAGGGAAGAGAGUGAAAUGUGGGUAAAGGAGGUUGAUUUAGAGAGAGUGAGAUGAGGGUAAAGGAGGUUGAAGGAAGAGAGUGAGAUGAGGGUAAAGGAGGAUGAAGGGAAGAGAGUGAGACGAGGGUAAAGGAGGUUGAAGGGAAGAUAGUGAGAUGAGGGUAAAGGAGGUUGAAGGGAAGAUAGUGAGAUGAGGGUAAAGGAGGUUGAAGGAAAGAGAGUGAGAUGAGGGUAAAGGAGGAUGAAGGGAAGAGAGUGAGAUGAGGGUAAAGGAGGUUGAAUUAGAGAGAGUGAGAUGAGGGUAAAGGAGGAUGAAGGGAAGAGAGUGAGAUGAGGGUAAAGGAGGUUGAAGGGAAGAUAGUGAGAUGAGGGUAAAGGAGGUUGAAGGGAAGAGAGUGAGAUGAGGGUAAAGGAGGUUGAAGGGAAGAGAGUGAGACGAGGGUAAAUGAGGUUGAAGGGAAGAUAGUGAGAUGAGGGUAAAGGAGGUUGAAGGGAAGAUAGUGAGAUGAGGGUAAAGGAGGUUGAAGGGAAGAGAGUGAGAUGAGGGUAAAGGAGGUUGAACGGAAGAGAGUGAGAUGAGGGUAAAGGAGGUUGAACGGAAGAGAGUGAGAUGUGGGUAAAGGAGGUUGAAGGGAAGAGAGUGAGAUGAGGGUAAAGGAGGUUGAACAGAAGAGAGUGAGAUGUGGGUAAAGGAGGUUGAAGAGAGUGAGAUGAGGGUAAAGGAGAUUGAAGGGAAGAGAGUGAGAUGAGGGUAAAGGAGGUUGAACGGAAGAGAGUGAGAUGUGGGUAAAGGAGGUUGAAGGGAAGAGAGUGAGAUGAGGGUAAAGGAGGUUGAACGGAAGAGAGUGAGAUGUGGGUAAAGGAGGUUGAAGGGAAGAUACUGAGAUGAGGGUAAAGGAGGUUGAACGGAAGAGAGCGAGAUGUGGGUAAAGGAGGUUGAAUUAGAGAGAGUGAGAUGAGGGUAAAGGAGGUUGAAUUAGAGAGAGUGAGAUAAGGGUAAAGGAGACUGAAGGGAAGAGAGUGAGAUGAGGGUAAAGGAGGUUGAAUUAGAGAGAGUGAGAUGAGGGUAAAGGAGGUUGAAUUAGAGAGAGUGAGAUAAGGGUAAAGGAGACUGAAGGGAAGAGAGUGAGAUGAGGGUAAAGGAGGUUGAAGGGAAGAGAGUGAGAUGAGGGUAAAGGAGGUUGAAGGGAAGAGAGUGAGAUGAGGGUAAAGGAGGUUGAAUUAGAGAGAGUGAGAUGACGGUAAAGGAGGUUGAAUUAGAGAGAGUGAGAUAAGGGUAAAGGAGACUGAAGGGAAGAGAGUGAGAUGAGGGUAAAGGAGGUUCAAGGGAAGAGAGUGAGAUGAGGGUAAAGGAGGUUGAAGGGAAGAGAGUGAGAUGAGGGUAAAGGAGGUUGAAGUGAAGAGAGUGAGAUGAGGGUAAAGGAGGUUGAAUGGAAGAGAGGGAGAUGAGGGUAAAGGAGGUUGAAUUAGAGAGAGUGAGAUGAGGGUAAAGGUGGAUGAAGGGAAGAGAGUGAGAUGAGGGUAAAAGAGGUUGAACGGAAGAGAGUGAGAUGUGGGUAAAGGAGGUUGAAGGGAAGAGAGUGAGAUGAGGGUAAAGGAGGAUGAAGGGAAGAGAGUGAGAUGAGGCUAAAGGAGGUUGAAGGGAAGAGCGUGAGAUGAGGGUAAAGGAGGUUGAACUGGAGAGAGGGAGAUGAGGGUAAAGGAGGUUGAAUUAGAGAGAGUGAGAUGAGGGUAAAGGAGGAUGAAGGGAAGAGAGUGAGAUGUGGGUAAAGCAGGUUGAAUUAGAGAGUGAGAUGAGGGUAAAGGA
Molecule: long non-coding RNA, 2160 nt
Organism: Oncorhynchus keta (chum salmon)
Lineage: Eukaryota; Metazoa; Chordata; Actinopteri; Salmoniformes; Salmonidae
Exons: 7
Source: RefSeq, a predicted model, not a curated record